CGCAAGGUUAAAACUCAAAUGAAUUGACGGGGGCCCGCACAAGCGGUGGAGCAUGUGGUUUAAUUCGAUGCAACGCGAAGAACCUUACCUACUCUUGACAUCCAGAGAACUUUCCAGAGAUGGAUUGGUGCCUUCGGGAACUCUGAGACAGGUGCUGCAUGGCUGUCGUCAGCUCGUGUUGUGAAAUGUUGGGUUAAGUCCCGCAGCGAGCGCAACCCUUAUCCUUUGUUGCCAGCGGUUCGGCCGGGAACUCAAAGGAGACUGCCAGUGAUAAACUGGAGGAAGGUGGGGAUGACGUCAAGUCAUCAUGGCCCUUACGAGUAGGGCUACACACGUGCUACAAUGGCGCAUACAAAGAGAAGCGACCUCGCGAGAGCAAGCGGACCUCAUAAAGUGCGUCGUAGUCCGGAUUGGAGUCUGCAACUCGACUCCAUGAAGUCGGAAUCGCUAGUAAUCGUAGAUCAGAAUGCUACGGUGAAUACGUUCCCGGGCCUUGUACACAC
RNAcentral lists this ribosomal RNA (503 nucleotides) under uncultured bacterium. RNAcentral's name for it is "bacterial SSU rRNA". It matches the Rfam family "Bacterial small subunit ribosomal RNA", at positions 887 to 1390 of the family's 1533-position model. The record is from RNAcentral.